RNAcentral lists this transfer RNA (71 nucleotides) under Araeosoma owstoni. RNAcentral's name for it is "tRNA-Tyr". It matches the Rfam family "tRNA". Rfam says of the family: Transfer RNA (tRNA) molecules are approximately 80 nucleotides in length. Their secondary structure includes four short double-helical elements and three loops (D, anti-codon, and T loops). The record is from RNAcentral. Lineage: Eukaryota; Metazoa; Echinodermata; Echinoidea; Echinothurioida; Echinothuriidae.
AGUAAGAUGACUGAAAGAUAAAGUGGUGGAUUGUAAAUCCAUAAACAAAGGUUUAACUCCUUUUCUUGCUA